Molecule: ribosomal RNA, 468 nt
Filed under: uncultured bacterium
Lineage: Bacteria
Description: partial 16S ribosomal RNA
Rfam family: Bacterial small subunit ribosomal RNA
Source: RNAcentral
GACGAACGCUGGCGGCGUGCUUAACACAUGCAAGUCGAACGGAAAGGCCCUGCUUUUGUGGGGUGCUCGAGUGGCGAACGGGUGAGUAACACGUGAGUAACCUGCCCUUGACUUUGGUAUAACUUCAGGAAACUGGGGCUAAUACCGGAUAGGAGCUCCUGUUGCAUUGUGGGGGUUGGAAAGUUUCGGCGGUUGGGGAUGGACUCGCGGCUUAUCAGCUUGUUGGUGGGGUAGUGGCUUACCAAGGCUUUGACGGGUAGCCGGCCUGAGAGGGUGACCGGCGACAUUGGGACUGAGAUACGGCCCAGACGCGUACGGGAGGCAGCAGGGGGGAAUAUUGCCCAAUGGGCGGAAGCCUGAUGCAGCAACGCCGCGUUCGGGAUGACGGCCUGCUGGUUGUAAACCGCUUUCGCCUGUGACGAAGCGUGAGUGACGGUAAUGGGUAAAGAAGCACCGGCUAACUACGUG